GCCAAACAAAUCAUCAUGGACAUCAACCACCAGAGCCACUGCCUGUUCACACCGCGACCAUCCAGAAGGCGAGUUUUUUGCACCCUCUGUCACUCCCCUCCCCUUCUUUUAGAGGCUUCCUUGCCAAUGGAGGUAUAUCCACGGAGGAACCAAGGUCUGGUAGGUAAACACAAAGAUAAGGCAAGCAGUCUAGCUCAGAGGAACGUGAUGCUGUCUCCUCCUGCAUGCACUUCAAUUGGCUGUGCCUGAGAGGAUUUUGGGUGAGACGCAGCAGUUCCAUAUUCUCCAUCAGUCUCCAAGGCACCUGUGGGGAAUCCUGAGAAAGAACAACAAAACAAAACCAGGUAGCAUAGCAACAAAAGACGGAGCAUCAGAGAGAGCCACUCGCUUCAGUCAACUCCUGACUGGGGUUCUCAUUUGAGCUUACAUUUAUUUAUCCUACCCCCUUCUGUGAAGUUUAGAAAUAAGCAGUCACCUUGAAUGUUCAACCUUAAAGGAGCAAUCUGGAGCAAGCUAUAAAUGAACAAACUGCCUUGUUAAUGUUUUAAAACCUCUUAAGGAUCCAACUUAAAAAUAAAAAAAAUUGGUCUAAAAUGACAUAGCCAAAUCUAACUGCCUG
Molecule: long non-coding RNA, 619 nt
Organism: Oncorhynchus tshawytscha (Chinook salmon)
Lineage: Eukaryota; Metazoa; Chordata; Actinopteri; Salmoniformes; Salmonidae
Source: Ensembl